This 373-nucleotide ribosomal RNA is filed under the name uncultured bacterium. RNAcentral describes it as "bacterial SSU rRNA". It matches the Rfam family "Bacterial small subunit ribosomal RNA", at positions 523 to 898 of the family's 1533-position model. The record is from RNAcentral.
AUACGGAGGGUGCAAGCGUUGUCCGGAUUUAUUGGAUUUAAAGGGUGCGCAGGUGGGUAUUUAAGUCUGGUUUGAAAGCAGGUGGCUCAACCAUCUGACGUGGCUGGAAACUGGAUAUCUUGAAUGGGUUGGCGGUAGCCGGAAUGGGUCAUGUAGCGGUGAAAUGCAUAGAUAUGACCCGGUACACCGAUUGCGAAGGCAGGCUACUACGACUUGAUUGACACUGAGGCACGAGAGCAUGGGUAGCGAACAGGAUUAGAUACCCUGGUAGUCCAUGCCGUAAACGAUGAUUACUGGCUGUGUGUGUUCAAGCAUGCGUGGCUGAGCGAAAGCGUUAAGUAAUCCACCUGGGGAGUACGCUGGCAACAGUGAA